CUUUCAACAACGGAUCUCUUGGUUCUGGCAUCGAUGAAGAACGCAGCGAAAUGCGAUAAGUAAUGUGAAUUGCAGAAUUCAGUGAAUCAUCGAAUCUUUGAACGCACAUUGCGCCCCCUGGUAUUCCGGGGGGCAUGCCUGUUCGAGCGUCAUUACACCACUCCAGCCUCGCUGGGCGUUGGGCGCCGCGGC
Molecule: ribosomal RNA, 192 nt
Filed under: Teratosphaeria crispata
Lineage: Eukaryota; Fungi; Ascomycota; Dothideomycetes; Mycosphaerellales; Teratosphaeriaceae
Description: 5.8S ribosomal RNA
Rfam family: 5.8S ribosomal RNA (bases 1-152)
About the family: 5.8S ribosomal RNA (5.8S rRNA) is a component of the large subunit of the eukaryotic ribosome. It is transcribed by RNA polymerase I as part of the 45S precursor that also contains 18S and 28S rRNA. Functionally, it is thought that 5.8S rRNA may be involved in ribosome translocation.
Source: RNAcentral